GAAGGGCUGGCCCCAGCGCACCUCCUCGUGGUGCCAGGGUUUAAGCUGCGGUGCUUUAGCACUUUGCUGGUGCAUAACUGGGGCCGCCUGCCUAUCGCAGGCAGCCCUUUUAACUGCUAGCUACAGGC
Small nucleolar RNA from Rattus norvegicus (Norway rat), 128 nucleotides. The record is from Ensembl. NCBI's taxonomy places the organism in Eukaryota, Metazoa, Chordata, Mammalia, Rodentia, Muridae.